This 1008-nucleotide long non-coding RNA is filed under the name Oryctolagus cuniculus (rabbit). Its description in RNAcentral is "lncRNA (ENSOCUG00000034413.1)". Lineage: Eukaryota; Metazoa; Chordata; Mammalia; Lagomorpha; Leporidae. The record is from RNAcentral.
AUGCCGAAGCAGGCAGGCAACAGCCUCGAAGCUCAGGAAGGUAUUUUAUGCCAGAGAGGCCGGCUCCCUCCAGGCCAGUGGCCAGGAGAACCAGGCCGGGAGGGACCCUGGACAGCCAGCCUUGGCCUUCAGUGCAGCCCCAACCUCCUCCCCACUCCCGCCUUUCCUCUCCCCCAGCUCAGGAGCAGCAGCAGCAGCAGGCUGGGCGGGGGAGCUGACGUCAACCUGCGGCCCCUGCUCCUGACCUGCGGCGGGGUGCGGUGGCGCCGGUGCCGGCCCACUAGCGGCUCGGCGGCCGGCGACCUGCUGAUGGAUGGCCGGCCUUGCCCUGUGCCCUCCGGCCGCAUCCACAAUGGCGUCCAGUGUCCAGGAGGCCCAACUCCUGUGCACACAGCAGCCCUCCGUCCAAUCCGGCUCCCCGCCGCCGGUCCGCUCACGCCGCCUGCACCCUGGACUGGGCUGGGAGCCGCUGCUCUUGGCAGCUGCUCUGUGCGCCCGCAAACAAACACAGCUUUCCCCUUGCCUGCCCUCCUGUCUGCUUCCUCGGGUGCUCCCUUGCUCCCAGGCUCUUCUGGUGAACUGCCGACAGACACCCCGCAGGGUUGCGACUUCCAAGCCAGGCCUCCACCAGAGAGGCGCAGUGCCCCGCCCUGCGCUGCGGGCCGAGGCCGCCCCCUCCUGGGAGGCCUGGGGGCGGGGGUCCCCGAGCAGCCGAGGUGCAGAGGCUGCCCGCGCUGCGAGCGCCUUCCGGGCUCGCCGUUCCCACCAGCCUGGCCUCCUCGCCACGCAUCUGUUUUCAUUUUCUUAGUGUUUCAACUCGGCUCUCCCCCCACCCCCGCGUCCUCCCUCCCACUCCCAUGGAAGACGGAAGAUGGAUUUCAUCUGCAUCCUGAACGAGGGCGGGGCGCACUCACACUGGGGACACGGGGAACACCAAGUGCGAACUGUCCCCUGGGCUGUCCCUGGAGGAACAAAAGCAAUGCUUUUUUUUUUUUUUUUUUUUUUUAA